CAUAAAAAGUAUUGGAAGCAUCGCCUGCCCUGUGACUUCAUGUUUAACGGCCGCGGUAUCCUGACCGUGCAAAGGUAGCAUAAUCACUUGUUCUUUAAAUAAGGACUAGUAUGAAUGGCUGGACGAGGGUUCAACUGUCUCUUACUUCUGAUCUGUGAAAUUGACCUCCCUGUGAAAAGGCAGGGAUAAUAAAAUAAGACGAGAAGACCCUGUGGAGCUUAAAUUAACUAAUCAACGCAAUCAAAAAUAAACCCCAAUAGGGGAUAACAAUCAACGCUGAUUGAUUAGCUAUUUUGGUUGGGGUGACCUCGGAGUAAAAACCAACCUCCGAAUGAUACUAACCUAGACUCGACCAGUCCAAGUUAAAACUCAUUAAUUGACCCAAAUAAAUUGAUCAAUGGAACAAGUUACCCCAGGGAUAACAGCGCAAUCCUAUUCUAGAGUCCAUAUCGACAAUAGGGUUUACGACCUCGAUGUUGGAUCAGGACAUCCAAAUGGUGCAACCGCUAUUAAUGGUUCGUUUGUUCAACGAUUAAAGUC
This 540-nucleotide ribosomal RNA is filed under the name Ratufa bicolor (black giant squirrel). Its description in RNAcentral is "partial 16S ribosomal RNA". It matches the Rfam family "Bacterial large subunit ribosomal RNA", at positions 1835 to 2595 of the family's 2925-position model. The record is from RNAcentral. Lineage: Eukaryota; Metazoa; Chordata; Mammalia; Rodentia; Sciuridae.